RNAcentral lists this ribosomal RNA (430 nucleotides) under Actinomycetes bacterium. RNAcentral's name for it is "Actinobacteria bacterium partial 16S ribosomal RNA". It matches the Rfam family "Bacterial small subunit ribosomal RNA", at positions 355 to 776 of the family's 1533-position model. The record is from RNAcentral. Lineage: Bacteria; Bacillati; Actinomycetota; Actinomycetes.
UGGGGAAUAUUGGACAAUGGGCGCAAGCCUGAUCCAGCCAUGCCGCGUGUGUGAAGAAGGCCUUUUGGUUGUAAAGCACUUUAAGCGAGGAGGAGGCUACUUGGAUUAAUACUCUAGGAUAGUGGACGUUACUCGCAGAAUAAGCACCGGCUAACUCUGUGCCAGCAGCCGCGGUAAUACAGAGAGUGCGAGCGUUAAUCGGAUUUACUGGGCGUAAAGCGUGCGUAGGCGGCUUCUUAAGUCGGAUGUGAAAUCCCUGAGCUUAACUUAGGAAUUGCAUUCGAUACUGGGAAGCUAGAGUAUGGGAGAGGAUGGUAGAAUUCCAGGUGUAGCGGUGAAAUGCGUAGAGAUCUGGAGGAAUACCGAUGGCGAAGGCAGCCAUCUGGCCUAAUACUGACGCUGAGGUACGAAAGCAUGGGGAGCAAACAGG